Molecule: ribosomal RNA, 783 nt
Filed under: Nocardioides sp.
Lineage: Bacteria; Bacillati; Actinomycetota; Actinomycetes; Propionibacteriales; Nocardioidaceae
Description: bacterial SSU rRNA
Rfam family: Bacterial small subunit ribosomal RNA
Source: RNAcentral
CUUCGGUGGUACUCGAGCGGCGAACGGGUGAGUAACACGUGAGUAAUCUGCCCCUGGCUUUGGGAUAGCCACCGGAAACGGUGAUUAAUACCGGAUACGACCACUUCGCGCAUGUGAUGGUGGUGGAAAGUUUUUCGGCCAGGGAUGUGCUCGCGGCCUAUCAGCUUGAUGGUGAGGUAAUGGCUCACCAUGGCUUCGACGGGUAGCCGGCCUGAGAGGGUGACCGGUCACACUGGGACUGAGACACGGCCCAGACUCCUACGGGAGGCAGCAGUGGGGAAUAUUGGACAAUGGGCGGAAGCCUGAUCCAGCAACGCCGCGUGAGGGAUGACGGCCUUCGGGUUGUAAACCUCUUUCAGCAGGGACGAAGCGCAAGUGACGGUACCUGCAGAAGAAGCACCGGCCAACUACGUGCCAGCAGCCGCGGUAAUACGUAGGGUGCGAGCGUUGUCCGGAAUUAUUGGGCGUAAAGGGCUCGUAGGCGGUUUGUCGCGUCGGGAGUGAAAACCAGGUGCUUAACACCUGGCUUGCUUUCGAUACGGGCAGACUAGAGGCAUGCAGGGGAGAACGGAAUUCCUGGUGUAGCGGUGAAAUGCGCAGAUAUCAGGAGGAACACCGGUGGCGAAGGCGGUUCUCUGGGCAUGUCCUGACGCUGAGGAGCGAAAGUGUGGGGAGCGAACAGGAUUAGAUACCCUGGUAGUCCACACCGUAAACGUUGGGCGCUAGGUGUGGGAUCCAUUCCACGGGUUCCGUGCCGCAGCUAACGCAUUAAGCGCCCCGCCU